RNAcentral lists this ribosomal RNA (253 nucleotides) under uncultured bacterium. RNAcentral describes it as "partial 16S ribosomal RNA". It matches the Rfam family "Bacterial small subunit ribosomal RNA", at positions 524 to 776 of the family's 1533-position model. The record is from RNAcentral.
UACAGAGGUCUCAAGCGUUGUUCGGAAUUACUGGGCGUAAAGGGCGCGUAGGCGGUUCGUUAAGUCCUGUGUGAAAUCCCCCGGCUCAACUGGGGAACUGCACAGGAAACUAGCGGGCUUGAGUUCGGGAGAGGGAAGCGGAAUUCCGGGUGUAGCGGUGAAAUGCGUAGAUAUCCGGAGGAACACCGGUGGCGAAGGCGGCUUCCUGGACCGACACUGACGCUGAGGCGCGAAAGCUAGGGGAGCAAACAGG